UACGUAGGGUGCAAGCGUUGUCCGGAAUUAUUGGGCGUAAAGAGCUCGUAGGCGGUCUGUCGCGUCGAAUGUGAAAACCCGGGGCUCAACCCCGGGCCUGCAUUCGAUACGGGCAGACUAGAGUUCGGUAGGGGAGACUGGAAUUCCUGGUGUAGCGGUGGAAUGCGCAGAUAUCAGGAGGAACACCGGUGGCGAAGGCGGGUCUCUGGGCAGUAACUGACGCUGAGGAGCGAAAGCGUGGGGAGCGAACAGG
RNAcentral lists this ribosomal RNA (253 nucleotides) under uncultured bacterium. Its description in RNAcentral is "partial 16S ribosomal RNA". It matches the Rfam family "Bacterial small subunit ribosomal RNA", at positions 524 to 776 of the family's 1533-position model. The record is from RNAcentral.